CGCAGCCAUUGGAGAGGGUGUAGUUUCUCCCAGAGGACGGAGGGAGGCUCGGAAUGAGGCUGAGAAAGUUGAUCAAGCGACGUGGGAGGGUGACGCGUCGCUUGGACCACUGGUCAUUCUGGAGAACGGAGUGCCCGACCUGGCAACCCAACCCUUCAAUGGGAUCGGACGACCUGGAGGGCAAACUUCACGUAGGGGUGUGAUAUCUGAAACGGUUUUGAUCGUUACCCUGGCCCUGACGGCUGCCUGUCUCGCCACUGCUGCUUUGAUCGUUUUGUUAUUGCACAGGAAACACAAGCAAACUAUGUUCAACUAGUUUUCAACUGCAGAAAAAGUGUGAUUGCUUCAUUCUUUUCUGUGUUU
This is a long non-coding RNA of Hypanus sabinus (Atlantic stingray), 363 nucleotides long. RefSeq lists it as uncharacterized. The transcript is spliced from 3 exons. The record is from RefSeq and is a predicted model, not a curated record. Lineage: Eukaryota; Metazoa; Chordata; Chondrichthyes; Myliobatiformes; Dasyatidae.